UACGAAGGGGGCUAGCGUUGCUCGGAAUCACUGGGCGUAAAGGGUGCGUAGGCGGGUCUUUAAGUCAGGGGUGAAAUCCUGGAGCUCAACUCCAGAACUGCCUUUGAUACUGAGGAUCUUGAGUACGGGAAAGGUGAGUGGAACUGCGAGUGUAGAGGUGAAAUUCGUAGAUAUUCGCAAGAACACCAGUGGCGAAGGCGGCUCACUGGCCCGUAACUGACGCUGAGGCACGAAAGCGUGGGGAGCAAACAGG
This 253-nucleotide ribosomal RNA is filed under the name uncultured bacterium. RNAcentral's name for it is "partial 16S ribosomal RNA". It matches the Rfam family "Bacterial small subunit ribosomal RNA", at positions 524 to 776 of the family's 1533-position model. The record is from RNAcentral.